UGUAUGGAGAGCACCAAUAAAAGCCUAUGAACCUUGUCAGGUCCGGAAGGAAGCAGCAAUAAGUAGAUACUUUUAUGUGGAGCUUUCCAUAGAGGA
This 96-nucleotide signal recognition particle RNA is filed under the name Clostridiales bacterium. Its description in RNAcentral is "signal recognition particle sRNA small type". It matches the Rfam family "Bacterial small signal recognition particle RNA". Rfam says of the family: The signal recognition particle (SRP) is a universally conserved ribonucleoprotein involved in the co-translational targeting of proteins to membranes. Archaeal SRP consists of a 7S RNA and homologues of the eukaryotic SRP19 and SRP54 proteins. The record is from RNAcentral. Lineage: Bacteria; Bacillati; Bacillota; Clostridia; Eubacteriales.